RNAcentral lists this long non-coding RNA (254 nucleotides) under Ictidomys tridecemlineatus (thirteen-lined ground squirrel). RNAcentral describes it as "lncRNA (ENSSTOG00000032237.1)". The record is from RNAcentral. Lineage: Eukaryota; Metazoa; Chordata; Mammalia; Rodentia; Sciuridae.
GAACUCUGAAUGUUUUAUGAAAGCGUGUGGGUGGAGGGACCAUGGCCUGGAGCAAGCUUCAGAGAUCCUUCUUCGGGGAGAACCCCACAGCUGUGUCAAUAACAAAGGCAGUGGGAGCCCAGAAGCUAUCUUUUGGAUCUCACCCUCCAUUGCAGCAUGCUUAGCUCAAGGCAGAAGAGAAGAAUGGAAGACAAACAAUCUGAUCAGAUGUAAUGAAGGGUGCCAGAGGAACUGAAUCAUGCCCAUACGCCAGU